RNAcentral lists this long non-coding RNA (1023 nucleotides) under Equus caballus (horse). RNAcentral's name for it is "lncRNA (ENSECAG00000055556.1)". The record is from RNAcentral. Lineage: Eukaryota; Metazoa; Chordata; Mammalia; Perissodactyla; Equidae.
AACCCAAAUCCCAAAAUGCGCCUUUUCCCAAAUUGUCGCCCCAAGGUCCUGGGCGGCGGGUUUUCCGGCUGCAGCGUUCCCCGGGGGAGUCACCCAUCCGAACUCCUUGCUCCUGUCGGAAUGCUCAGGCCCACAGCUGAGAUCUCCCCGAACCCGUGGGCCCCGAGGGUCAGCAGGGGCGCUGGAAACUGCAGCAGCUCAAAUGAUCUCCUCUGCUAUGAGCAAGCACCACAAUUUCCAGAGUUUCCAUAUGAACCAGAGGCUGAAUUUCCCUGCAUUACAGAGAAAAGGAGGCUUAGAAGUAGGAAGCAAUCUACAACCAUCGCAUGAAACCCAAGACUCUCUGUCGCCUCCAGACUCCAGUAUCCACAGCACACCACCAGGCCUGCCCUUUAGUGCACAAGUCUGCCUUCCUGAUGCUCCAGACCCGAACAGCCCCGUCAGCUCCACUGUCUCUGUAGGAAAGCCUCUAACCUCCUCAUCAGGCACACGACUGCAGCAGCUCUUGCUCAGGGCACCAGCCUGAGGCAGCCAACAGCUUUAAAGGGCCUUCCAGACGGAAGGAAGAGGGAAGAAGACGGCGGCCCCAGGAGAUUCAGCUUCAGGGGAAAAAAAAAUCAUGAGACCUAGAGAAGGGCCCAGGGAGAAGCAGAGGGGAGACUGUGCCCCUAAGAUUGUCACGUAGCUGGUUAUCUGUGAAGCCCGAAAUAGAACUCAGGAUUCCUGACUCCAGGCCAGGUGACUUGAACCCUGGCACUUCUCCCUUAAAGCAGGUACCUUGACCUACUUCUAGGAAGCCACAGGGAAAGAACAGCCUAUAAAAACAAUACCCAAGUAUAGGAGCGGUGAGUAUCCAAGAGCUGAGGAAUGCAUCUCCACAACACAGAAAACAGCUCAGGAGCCGGGUCAGUAGGACGUGCUCCUGGCAAGGUUCCUGGGUGCUGCCGUGGGCUGCAGGAGAGACGCAGGGGCCGCAGAGAGGCCGGCUGCCCUGAGACCAGGGCCUGAGCGUCUGAGGAGGAG